Molecule: long non-coding RNA, 690 nt
Filed under: Salmo salar (Atlantic salmon)
Lineage: Eukaryota; Metazoa; Chordata; Actinopteri; Salmoniformes; Salmonidae
Description: lncRNA (ENSSSAG00000083885.1)
Source: RNAcentral
AUGUUAGUUACGGCAUGGUAAACAUAGCUGGGCUACAGUCACAUUCAUCUUAUCUGUGCUCCAGGGAUGAGCUGGACUUUGAUCCCAAACCUCAUGUUUGUUUGGAGACUCACUACCAGGAAUUCUGCUCUGCACUGCAGACAACAAGAAGGUGCAACAGCAUAUGGAGCGCCAGCAUAUGGAGCCCAACCAUAUGGAGCCCCAGCAUAUGGCGCCCCAGCAUAUGGCGCCCCAGCAUAUGGAGCCCCACCAUAUUGAGCCCAAUGGUAGCAUGCAUAGCCGCGGGAAGUAUACAGUACCAGUCAAAGAUUCUUCAAAGUAGCCACCCUUUGCCUUGAUGACAGCUUUGCACGCUCUUGGCAUUCUCUCAACCAGCUUCAUGAGGUAGUCACCUGGAAUGCAUUUCAAUUAACAGGUGCAGUCGCAAAAACCAUCAAGUGCAAUGAUGAAACUGGCUCUAAUGAGGACUGCCACAGUUUCCUCUGGUGAGGAUAAGUUCAUUAGAGUUACCAGCCUGAGAAAUUGCAGCCCAAAUAUAUGCUUCACAGAGUUUAAGUAACAGAUACAUCUCAACAUCAACUGUUCAGAGGAGACUGUGUGAAUCAAGCCUUCAUGGUCGAAUUGCUGCAAUGAAACGACUACUAAAGGACCCCAAGAAGAAGAAUAGACUUGCUUGGACCAAGAAACACG